AAAAAUUGGAAUUUUUUGCUUGGGUGGUGGUUUGGGCUAUACCCAGAAGUUGCAGUUCUUCUUGAAGGUCUUCAAAACUGUUUUUUUUUUCAAGUUACAGGUGGAAGAAAAGUGGGACAAAAUGUCAGUUAGUGAGGAAAAUAUGUAGAAGCAUGACAUGAUGUUACCUUCAUGUCCAUUCUUCCCUGGGCCUGUCAAACAUGAUGCAAAACAGAUGGCAGAGGCAACACAGUGCCAUGGGAGAGCUUUUGAUCUUUGGUGCUGACUUUCAUGGCAAAACUGUCCAAUCACCUUUAGAGCAGGCACAAUGCCAUAGCAACAGAUGAGGAGGAGUGUAAGUAGCAAUAUAUCAUAUCUGUUUGUUGAGCUGAGAAUGUCCAAAAGGCUUUAGGUUCAAAUAAACAGCUUGCCUGCACUUGGUGCGGCAAAGGGAGAAGAGAAG
Molecule: long non-coding RNA, 442 nt
Filed under: Gallus gallus (chicken)
Lineage: Eukaryota; Metazoa; Chordata; Aves; Galliformes; Phasianidae
Source: RNAcentral